AUUUUUUCAGCACCUCAAACGUCAAUGGACAGAACCAGAUGUAUUGUGACAAGUGUGAUGACAAAGCUGAUGCUACUCUUAGAUCUGUAAUGACACAUCAUCCAGAUGUUUUGACGCUGCUUUUGAAGAGGUUUGAGUUUGACUACCGUUACAUGGCGUAUGUCAAAAUCGAAUGCACUGUGGAUGUUCCCUGCACCCUUCAGAUACCAGAGAAUCAGACAUAUGAACUGUAUGCGGUUGUGGAUCAUUUUGGAGAUCUGAG
This is a long non-coding RNA of Scomber scombrus (Atlantic mackerel), 262 nucleotides long. RefSeq lists it as uncharacterized. The transcript has 3 exons. Lineage: Eukaryota; Metazoa; Chordata; Actinopteri; Scombriformes; Scombridae. The record is from RefSeq and is a predicted model, not a curated record.